Molecule: transfer RNA, 62 nt
Filed under: Taenia asiatica
Lineage: Eukaryota; Metazoa; Platyhelminthes; Cestoda; Cyclophyllidea; Taeniidae
Rfam family: tRNA
About the family: Transfer RNA (tRNA) molecules are approximately 80 nucleotides in length. Their secondary structure includes four short double-helical elements and three loops (D, anti-codon, and T loops). Further hydrogen bonds mediate the characteristic L-shaped molecular structure. tRNAs have two regions of fundamental functional importance: the anti-codon, which is responsible for specific mRNA codon recognition, and the 3' end, to which the tRNAs corresponding amino acid is attached (by aminoacyl-tRNA synthetases). tRNAs cope with the degeneracy of the genetic code in two manners: having more than one tRNA (with a specific anti-codon) for a particular amino acid; and 'wobble' base-pairing, i.e. permitting non-standard base-pairing at the 3rd anti-codon position.
Source: Rfam by way of RNAcentral
GUCGCGAUGGCCGAGUGGUUAAGGCGAUGGACUUGAAAUCCAUUGGGGAUUCCCCGCGCAGG